AUGAACGCUGGCGGCGUGCCUAAUACAUGCAAGUCGAGCGAACAGACGAGGAGCUUGCUCCUCUGACGUUAGCGGCGGACGGGUGAGUAACCCGUGGAUAACCUACCUAUAAGACUGGGAUAACUUCGGGAAACCGGAGCUAAUACCGGAUAAUAUAUUGAACCGCAUGGUUCAAUAGUGAAAGCCGGUUUUGCUGUCACUUAUAGAUGGAUCCGCGCCGCAUUAGCUAGUUGGUAAGGUAACGGCUUACCAAGGCAACGAUGCGUAGCCGACCUGAGAGGGUGAUCGGCCACACUGGAACUGAGACACGGUCCAGACUCCUACGGGAGGCAGCAGUAGGGAAUCUUCCGCAAAGGGCGAAAGCUUGACGGAGCAACGCCGCGUGAGUGAUGAAGGUCUUCGGAUCGUAAAACUCUGUUAUUAGGGAAGAACAAAUGUGUAAGUAACUAUGCACGUCUUGACGGUACCUAAUCAGAAAGCCACGGCUAACUACGUG
RNAcentral lists this ribosomal RNA (496 nucleotides) under uncultured bacterium. RNAcentral's name for it is "partial 16S ribosomal RNA". It matches the Rfam family "Bacterial small subunit ribosomal RNA", at positions 29 to 507 of the family's 1533-position model. The record is from RNAcentral.